This 497-nucleotide ribosomal RNA is filed under the name uncultured bacterium. Its description in RNAcentral is "partial 16S ribosomal RNA". It matches the Rfam family "Bacterial small subunit ribosomal RNA", at positions 28 to 507 of the family's 1533-position model. The record is from RNAcentral.
GAUGAACGCUGGCGGCGUGCCUAAUACAUGCAAGUCGAGCGAACAGACGUGGAGCUUGCUCCUCUGACGUUAGCGGCGGACGGGUGAGUAACACGUGGAUAACCUACCUAUAAGACUGGGAUAACUUCGGGAAACCGGAGCUAAUACCGGAUAAUAUAUUGAACCGCAUGGUUCAAUAGUGAAAGACGGUUUUGCUGUCACUUAUAGAUGGAUCCGCGCCGCAUUAGCUAGUUGGUAAGGUAACGGCUUACCAAGGCAACGAUGCGUAGCCGACCUGAGAGGGUGAUCGGCCACACUGGAACUGAGACACGGUCCAGACUCCUACGGGAGGCAGCAGUAGGGAAUCUUCCGCAAUGGGCGAAAGCUUGACGGAGCAACGCCGCGUGAGUGAUGAAGGUCUUCGGAUCGUAAAACUCUGUUAUUAGGGAAGAACAAAUGUGUAAGUAACUAUGCACGUCUUGACGGUACCUAAUCAGAAAGCCACGGCUAACUACGUG